RNAcentral lists this non-coding RNA (185 nucleotides) under Chloroflexota bacterium. RNAcentral describes it as "Chloroflexi bacterium FMN sequence". It matches the Rfam family "FMN riboswitch aptamer (RFN element)". Rfam says of the family: The RFN element is a highly conserved domain that is found frequently in the 5'-untranslated regions of prokaryotic mRNAs that encode for flavin mononucleotide (FMN) biosynthesis and transport proteins. This element is a metabolite-dependent riboswitch that directly binds FMN in the absence of proteins. In Bacillus subtilis, the riboswitch most likely controls gene expression by causing premature transcription termination within the 5' untranslated region of the ribDEAHT operon and precluding access to the ribosome-binding site of ypaA mRNA. The record is from RNAcentral. Lineage: Bacteria; Bacillati; Chloroflexota.
GGCAUCCUUCGGGGCAGGGUGAGGGUCGCGCUCGAAAGACCCAAUUCCCGAUCGGCGGUGGGUUGAGCGUGCAUUGCGCAGGCUCAACAAGCCCGCGAGCCCACGGGUCGCAAUACUUGGCCCACGGGCAGGAUCCGGUGUAAAGCCGGGGCCGACCGUAUAGUCGGGAAGGAAGACAGGAAGCC